AAUGAAGGGAUUGUAAAAUCUUCAAGAGGGAAUUGACAGGAUGAAAUAAAUCAGCAGGAGAAAGUCCUGUUUGCAAUGAAGUUUUGGACUACAACUCUAGGUACAGAGCUACACGCUGCAUCCUUCACCUAGGACGUGACACAGAUUCGAGUGGAAAAUACCAAGGACAGAUUACUUAGAUUGAUCUGGAUCUUCUAUUUUGUUGCAGUCGUGCAGUCUUGAGUCUUAAAGCCGGAGGGAGUCACUAGAACAAGAGGAAGUGCUGCCUGGCAGCUGCAGUGCAUUGCAGGUUCCUCUGAAGCAGCUGGCACAGGUCACUGUGGGAGAGAGAAUAUUUGACUAGAUGGACCAUGGGUCUGAUCUGCUCAGACGAUUCCUAUGACAUAAAUGGUCCUUGUCCCAAACACAGAAAAGCUGGAAAGCUAGAAAGAGCUGACUAGGAUGACUGGGGUUCCAUUGUAUCAGAUGUCGUACAACUACCUGAAAGACUUGGUAUCUGACCCAUGACUUACAACCCAAUUCAAGACAAGACACAACAAGAGAGUGUAACCAACAAGAAAAGGGUAACAAACAGCUAGUAUAUGUGCCUAACUUGAUCUAUUUACUUGAUGGUUCUGAAUCAUUCCGUUUUUAAUAUAAAUAUA
This is a long non-coding RNA of Mauremys mutica (yellowpond turtle), 644 nucleotides long. RefSeq lists it as uncharacterized. The transcript is spliced from 5 exons. Lineage: Eukaryota; Metazoa; Chordata; Testudines; Geoemydidae. The record is from RefSeq and is a predicted model, not a curated record.